Molecule: ribosomal RNA, 1500 nt
Filed under: uncultured bacterium
Lineage: Bacteria
Description: bacterial SSU rRNA
Rfam family: Bacterial small subunit ribosomal RNA
Source: RNAcentral
GAGUUUGAUCAUGGCUCAGAUUGAACGCUGGCGGCAGGCCUAACACAUGCAAGUCGAACGGUAACAGGAAGCAGCUUGCUGCUUUGCUGAUGAGUGGCGGACGGGUGAGUAAUGUCUGGGAAACUGCCUGAUGGAGGGGGAUAACUACUGGAAACGGUAGCUAAUACCGCAUAACGUCGCAAGACCAAAGAGGGGGACCUUCGGGCCUCUUGCCAUCGGAUGUGCCCAGAUGGGAUUAGCUAGUAGGUGGGGUAACGGCUCACCUAGGCGACGAUCCCUAGCUGGUCUGAGAGGAUGACCAGCCACACUGGAACUGAGACACGGUCCAGACUCCUACGGGAGGCAGCAGUGGGGAAUAUUGCACAAUGGGCGCAAGCCUGAUGCAGCCAUGCCGCGUGUAUGAAGAAGGCCUUCGGGUUGUAAAGUACUUUCAGCGGGGAGGAAGGUGUUGAGGUUAAUAACCUCAGCAAUUGACGUUACCCGCAGAAGAAGCACCGGCUAACUCCGUGCCAGCAGCCGCGGUAAUACGGAGGGUGCAGGCGUUAAUCGGAAUUACUGGGCGUAAAGCGCACGCAGGCGGUCUGUCAAGUCGGAUGUGAAAUCCCCGGGCUCAACCUGGGAACUGCAUUCGAAACUGGCAGGCUAGAGUCUUGUAGAGGGGGGUAGAAUUCCAGGUGUAGCGGUGAAAUGCGUAAAGAUCUGGAGAAUACCGGUGGCGAAGCGGCCCCUGGACAAAAACUGACCCUCAGGUGCGAAAGCGUGGGGAGCAAACAGGAUUAGAUACCCUGGUAGUCCACCCCCUAACGAUGUCCACUUGAAGUUGUGCCCUUGAGGCGUGGCUUCCGGAGCUAACGCGUUAAGUCGACCGCCUGGGGAGUACGGCCGCAAGGUUAAAACUCAAAUGAAUUGACGGGGGCCCGCACAAGCGGUGGAGCAUGUGGUUUAAUUCGAUGCAACGCGAAGAACCUUACCUACUCUUGACAUCCAGAGAACUUAGCAGAGAUGCUUUGGUGCCUUCGGGAACUCUGAGACAGGUGCUGCAUGGCUGUCGUCAGCUCGUGUUGUGAAAUGUUGGGUUAAGUCCCGCAACGAGCGCAACCCUUAUCCUUUGUUGCCAGCGGUUAGGCCGGGAACUCAAAGGAGACUGCCAGUGAUAAACUGGAGGAAGGUGGGGAUGACGUCAAGUCAUCAUGGCCCUUACGAGUAGGGCUACACACGUGCUACAAUGGCGCAUACAAAGAGAAGCGACCUCGCGAGAGCAAGCGGACCUCAUAAAGUGCGUCGUAGUCCGGAUUGGAGUCUGCAACUCGACUCCAUGAAGUCGGAAUCGCUAGUAAUCGUGGAUCAGAAUGCCACGGUGAAUACGUUCCCGGGCCUUGUACACACCGCCCGUCACACCAUGGGAGUGGGUUGCAAAAGAAGUAGGUAGCCUAACCUUCGGGAGGGCGCUUACCACUUUGUGAUUCAUGACUGGGGUGAAGUCGUAACAAGGUAACCGUA